GCCCUCAGGAGGGGGAUAACGGUUGGAAACGACCGCUAAUACCCCAUACGCCGAUAGGUGAAAUGAAUUUCGCCUGAGGAUGAGCCCGCGUCUGAUUAGCUAGUUGGUAAGGUAAAGGCUUACCAAGGCUUCGAUCAGUAGCUGGUCUGAGAGGAUGAUCAGCCACACUGGGACUGAGACACGGCCCAGACUCCUACGGGAGGCAGCAGUGGGGAAUUUUCCGCAAUGGGCGAAAGCCUGACGGAGCAACGCCGCGUGAGGGACGAAGGCCUCUGGGCUGUAAACCUCUUUUCUCAAGGAAGAAGAUAUGACGGUACUUGAGGAAUAAGCCACGGCUAAUUCCGUGCCAGCAGCCGCGGUAAUACGGGAGUGGCAAGCGUUAUCCGGAAUUAUUGGGCGUAAAGCGUCCGCAGGCGGCCUUUCAAGUCUGCUGUUAAAGCGUGGAGCUUAACUCCAUCAUGGCAGUGGAAACUGAUAGGCUUGAGUAUGGUAGGGGCAGAGGGAAUUCCCGGUGU
This 515-nucleotide ribosomal RNA is filed under the name uncultured Prochlorococcus sp. RNAcentral's name for it is "bacterial SSU rRNA". It matches the Rfam family "Bacterial small subunit ribosomal RNA", at positions 128 to 676 of the family's 1533-position model. The record is from RNAcentral. Lineage: Bacteria; Bacillati; Cyanobacteriota; Cyanophyceae; Synechococcales; Prochlorococcaceae.